CCUUUUCUUUGUUUUUUUCUAUCUUUUCUUUUUCUUUGCUUUAUGGUUUCAAGGGUGAUUUCUUUUUCUUGUUUCUUUUCAUAUUUUCACCCUUUCAUAAAAGCUCAUUUUUCCAAGUUUCUAAUCAAAUCUUUUUACUUUACUCUCCCCAACUUUAGAUUCCAAAACCAAAUUUAUUCAAUAAUGCUCCCUACUUAGACAUAAGCAAAAGGCAAAAUUUGCAAACAACUCGGCUUGAGGGUUCA
RNAcentral lists this long non-coding RNA (245 nucleotides) under Lathyrus oleraceus (garden pea). RNAcentral's name for it is "Pisum sativum (pea) long non-coding RNA (PSAT_LNC019153)". Lineage: Eukaryota; Viridiplantae; Streptophyta; Magnoliopsida; Fabales; Fabaceae. The record is from RNAcentral.